RNAcentral lists this ribosomal RNA (494 nucleotides) under uncultured bacterium. RNAcentral's name for it is "bacterial SSU rRNA". It matches the Rfam family "Bacterial small subunit ribosomal RNA", at positions 16 to 507 of the family's 1533-position model. The record is from RNAcentral.
AUCCUGGCUCAGGAUGAACGCUGGCGGCGUGCUUAAUACAUGCAAGUCGAACGAAGCACCUUGGACNGAAUCCUUCGGGAGGAAGACCAUUGUGACUGAGUGGCGGACGGGUGAGUAACGCGUGGGUAACCUGCCUUGUACAGGGGGAUAACAGUUGGAAACGACUGCUAAUACCGCAUAAGCGCACAGUACCGCAUGGUACGGUGUGAAAAAACUCCGGUGGUAUAAGAUGGACCCGCGUCUGAUUAGCUAGUUGGCAGGGUAACGGCCUACCAAGGCGACGAUCAGUAGCCGACCUGAGAGGGUGACCGGCCACAUUGGGACUGAGACACGGCCCAGACUCCUACGGGAGGCAGCAGUGGGGAAUAUUGCACAAUGGAGGAAACUCUGAUGCAGCGACGCCGCGUGAGUGAAGAAGUAUUUCGGUAUGUAAAGCUCUAUCAGCAGGGAAGAUAAUGACGGUACCUGACUAAGAAGCACCGGCUAAAUACGUG